This 398-nucleotide long non-coding RNA is filed under the name Rattus norvegicus (Norway rat). RNAcentral's name for it is "long non-coding RNA NONRATT018169". The record is from RNAcentral. Lineage: Eukaryota; Metazoa; Chordata; Mammalia; Rodentia; Muridae.
AGAUCAUAUAACGAAUAGCUUAUUUACCUUGGCUAUCCCAAGCAUUCCAGGAUGCAUUAUGUUAAAGCUUGUGUCACUAAUGGCCAUUGAAGAAAUUGAGGUCAGAAAUGUUAUGAAAAUGGUGUUUCUGAGAGUUGGAGACAUGGGGAUGGUCGCAGCAGCAGGAUUUUUGUCGUUGGUGGUUUCGUUUAGUUUUUUUCUUUCUGAAUCCGAUUAUUUUAAGCUAGGCUGUGUCUAUAUAAAGCUUUUCUUACUCAAUAGAGCUUUUCCAUGGCAUUGUAUAGACAUAGCUUUGAUGUCAAUUGCAAGAACAUCCGUAACCUCUUAUUCUAUGUACAUUUUUUUUCAUUCUCAUCGGAUGCAUCAAACAUGCAGCGGUAAUAAGCCAGAUUCUACUC